Molecule: long non-coding RNA, 611 nt
Filed under: Elaeis guineensis (African oil palm)
Lineage: Eukaryota; Viridiplantae; Streptophyta; Magnoliopsida; Arecales; Arecaceae
Description: long non-coding RNA (EGUI_LNC027357)
Source: RNAcentral
AUGUAUUUUGUUAGCCAAUAACCCAAUGGUUUGUAACUAAGUUAAUUGAAACUACAAAACUUGAUUUUGCUUUUCAAGUGUGCAUCUCGAGUCCAUAUAUUGCAGGUUUUCUUAUGAUAAGUAUGCAAAAGAGUUUGGAAUUAUGGUUAGAAAUCAAUUUACUGUAGUUAAAAAAAAUAAAAUAAAAACUUAAAAAUAGUACUUAAAUCAAAGACCAACAAAGUAAACAAAGGAAAGAGGAAAAGAAGAAGGCUCAGAUCUUCCAUUGAAAAUAAGGCAUUGCAAGUUUUUUAGCACUUUUAACCAUAAGGUGGCUGCAAGUGGUUGUCUGCGAUGUAACAGACUAUCUAAGCUUGCCCUGCAACUACAAUAACAAGAACAGAAAUGCAUCACCUCCAUCGAUCUCUCUCUAGACUCUUUAAGUCCAUCUUGCAUAGGCAGUCAUCAUAGCCUCGUCGAGCCCCCGAUCGCCUUUUCGAGCCCCCCACCCCUACCCGAGAUCAGUUCGAAAACUAAGAGCAAAAAUUUUUUAAAAAAUAAAAUAAAAACUUAAAAAUAGUACUUAAAUCAAAGAAAAAUAAUGUAAACAAGGGAAAGAAAAAGAAGUAGGC